AUGGAAGCACCGCCGCCGCCGCCGCCGCCGCCGCCGGCGCUCCCGGACGACGUCGUCGAAGAGAUCCUCCUCCGCCUCCCGCCCGACGACCCAGCCUGCCUCUUCCGCGCCUCCCUCGUCUGCAAGGCCUGGAGGAGCGCCGUCUCCCAUCCCCACUUCCGCCGCCGCUUCAUCGGGCUCCACCGCCACCGGGCACCCCCUGUGCUCGGCUUCCUCCACAACUGGAAAGACGAGCGCCUCCCUGACUUCGUCCCCACCACCGCCUCGCCCUUCUCCCUCGCCGCUCCAGACCGCCGGUUCUGGCGCCCCCUCGACUGCCGCCACGGCCGCGCCCUCUUCCUCUCCGACGACCGCCAGGAAACUCAGGAACUCCUCCUGUGGGGGCCAAUCACGGGCGCCCGUCAGGGCAUACCGGUGCCCUCGGCGUUCAGGUGCGACUGGCCGACCGCGGCCGUGUUCUGCGCAGCCGACGGGUGCGACCACCGCGACUGUGCGGGGGGGCCCUUCGGCGUGGUCUUCGUCUUCACCCUCGACAUCUCGCCCAACGCAGACGUUGUCACAUCGGCGUGCUUGUACUCGUCGGAGACUGGCACGUGGGGCAAGCUGAACUCGAGGGAAUACGAGUUCAGCAUGGACUUUGAGCAUCAUUCCAGCGUGCUGGUUGGGAGGUCUCUGCUCUACUUCCUGUCCGACGGUGGGAUGAUCCUGGAGUACAAUUUGGGCAGUGGUGAACUGGCUGUGUUCCGCCCACCACCUGACGAUUACGGCAGUGACAACCACAGAUUUAACCUCAUGCUGGCGGAGGACGGUGGGCUGGGGGUUGCCGAAGCCAUUGAUUUUCAGCUCAUAUUGUGGAAAAGGGAGGUGAGUGAUGGCACUAAUGCACGAUGGGUGCUGAGCCGGAUUGUCGACCUGGACAUCGAUCCAUGCACACUUGUUCCAGUGUUGGGCUUUGCAGAGGGAGCAAAUGCUGUUUUCGUGAAAACUGUUGGUAGUCUCUUCAUGAUCGAGCUGCAGUCGGAGCAGGCGAAAAGGGUGUGCCAUAAUCAUGGCUUCUGUAAUUUGAUUCCAGUUGUCAGCUUCUACACUCCACAUUCUAGGCUCCAAGUGCCCGGGGGUGAACACCAGGACCCAGCGCCGCGGCUGAACCUACUGAGGAGGGGUGGUCAGCAAGGGGUAUGGGAGGAGAAAUCACUAGAAUUGGCGCAAUUGCUGUUUGAUAAGGGGUGCAAGGCUAUCAAUGAGGAGGACUUGGCCCACGCGGCUGACUGCUUCAGACAUGUUCUCGAGAUCAGGGUUCGACGUUAUGGAGGCCUUGCUCCUGAGUGUGCUAGCACGUUUUACCGUUAUGGAGGUGCCUUGUUAUGCAAAGCUCAGGAGGCAGCCAAUCGUUCAGGGGCAAACUUGCGUGGCAAAGGUCAGACGGAUGGGAACAUGACAGGCGAUGGAGAUGAUUCUGAUUUGGAUUUGGCCUGGAAAAUGUUGAAUACUGCAAGGGUGAUAGUUGCCAAGAGUCCAGAGAAGACAAUGGAGAAGGUUAAUAUAUUGAUUGCUCUAGCUGAAAUCUCCAUGAGAAGAGAGGACAGAGACAGCUCAAUCAGUUACUACUUUGAAGCUUUGGCGAUCUUGGAACAUUUGGUUAGGCCUGACCAUUUUCGAAUUGUCGAUCUUUCUAGAAACAUCCGCAUAUGUUUGGCCUUUGAGUUAGCAUCCAAGGUUGGGGAUGCAAUCCCAUAUUGUGCAAAGGCUAUUUCAUUAUGCAAGUCGCGUAUACAUAAUCUGAAAAUUGCCAAGGAAGGUUUGUUGGCUGAUAAAGACCUUAGAGCAUCUGCUGCUAAAGGACACUCAGGAAAGUCGACUCUGGAAGAUGAAAUAUCUUACCUUGCUAGAAUGUUGCCUCGAUUCCAGAAGAAGCUUGAAGAACUGAAGCAAGCAAUGUCAACCCCAAGCGACGGCAUAGAUAAUAUUAUGAAGAGGGUGGUCUCACAGGCAAGUCAUGAGCAGAGUGUUAACAAUACUAUGGCAAGAACUGCAUCUUUGACUUCUUCACAGAUGGCACGAUCAAACAACAGCUUCCAUUCCCCAACUAUGUCUACGGCAGCACCAAGUGGAAGUAGCGUAACCGACUUUGAGAUUGUUGGCAGAGAGAUGAAACGAGCUAAAGAUGAGUCGAUCUCCUACGAACCUUCUCCAAAGAGACUUGCAGCAGAUGAUUCACCAUCCGUGAAUGAAAUUUGA
This 2238-nucleotide ribosomal RNA is filed under the name Triticum aestivum (bread wheat). RNAcentral's name for it is "partial small subunit ribosomal RNA". The record is from RNAcentral. Lineage: Eukaryota; Viridiplantae; Streptophyta; Magnoliopsida; Poales; Poaceae.